Molecule: ribosomal RNA, 253 nt
Filed under: uncultured bacterium
Lineage: Bacteria
Description: partial 16S ribosomal RNA
Rfam family: Bacterial small subunit ribosomal RNA
Source: RNAcentral
UACGUAGGGGCAAGCGUUGUCCGGAUUUAUUGGGCGUAAAGAGCUCGUAGGCGGUUUGUCGCGUCUGCCGUGAAAGUCCGGGGCUCAACUCCGGAUCUGCGGUGGGUACGGGCAGACUAGAGUGAUGUAGGGGAGACUGGAAUCCUGGUUGUAGCGGUGAAAUGCGCAGAUAUCAGGAGGAACACCGAUGGCGAAGGCAGGUCUCUGGGCAUUAACUGACGCUGGAGGAGCGAAAGCAUGGGGAGCGAACAGG